CAACUUUCAGCAGUGGAUGUCUAGGCUCGCACAUCGAUGAAGAACGCUGCGAACUGCGAUACGUAAUGCGAAUUGCAGGAUUCAGUGAGUCAUCGAAAUUUUGAACGCAUAUUGCACUUCCGGGUUA
This 127-nucleotide ribosomal RNA is filed under the name Phytophthora hydrogena. RNAcentral's name for it is "5.8S ribosomal RNA". It matches the Rfam family "5.8S ribosomal RNA", at positions 1 to 126 of the family's 154-position model. Rfam says of the family: 5.8S ribosomal RNA (5.8S rRNA) is a component of the large subunit of the eukaryotic ribosome. It is transcribed by RNA polymerase I as part of the 45S precursor that also contains 18S and 28S rRNA. RNAcentral also lists the same sequence under 1 other name. Lineage: Eukaryota; Oomycota; Peronosporomycetes; Peronosporales; Peronosporaceae. The record is from RNAcentral.